This is an RNA transcript of Ostrinia furnacalis (Asian corn borer), 4407 nucleotides long. It is a transcript of the gene named gastrula zinc finger protein xFG20-1, with no coding region annotated. NCBI's taxonomy places the organism in Eukaryota, Metazoa, Arthropoda, Insecta, Lepidoptera, Crambidae. The transcript has 14 exons. The record is from RefSeq and is a predicted model, not a curated record.
CCUACCUGUCAAAAAAAAAAUGUAUUUUGGGCUAUUUGAAGAUCAAGACGUGAAUAAAUUUUUGUGUGAAGUGCAAAAAUGCUUUAUGUUUAUCAAUUUCAUAUCCAUGUAGUUCUCGUAUUGGAAAACUAAGUUUCAAAUAAUAUGUUUUCAAAUUGUCUUUUUGAGUAAAUUGGAAGAUAUUUUUAUUUCAAUUUGCUUUGAAAAUGAGAACAAUGUUUGUACCACAUGAAAAGAAUGGUAAAAAGAAGUUCCAAAAACCAAACAUACUCAGAAAAAAACCAAAGCUUGCAGCAAAAACAAAUGUGCUCGAAGCCUUUGAAUCUCCUGAUACUGCAUCUUUGGUCAGUGAAUGUUUUAUAAAAGAAACAACAGAUGAAACUCAAUCUGAAGGCAUGGCGACAUUAAGUCUUCACUCUCACUUGGAGCACCAAACACCAGCCACUAGAGAUGAACUAAACAAUGAAUUACAGAUGCCAUCAGAAAGUACUGAUCAUAAAUAUAUUUUCAAUAAUAAUGGAAUGUUAGAGUCAGAAGGUUUAGGAGAGAAUGUGCAAUCAAAAAGCAAUGAAGAAAAUUCCAAUGAAGCACUUGUUAACAUAGAAUCAUUUUUUAGUGAUGCCACAGCAGAGAAUGUCAUGCUGUAUGAUAUAGACUGUGAUCCAGGAACAUCAAUUGAAGCAUUGGUAGUUAUAGAUAAUGAAUCCCCAGUGUCAAAUGUGUUGAUGGAGCACACCCAAGAUGAAGUCAACAACAGCCUGCCCUUGUCGACCGUGUCAAAUGAGUAUCCAGAUUUAAAUCAGACUGAUCGGCCAGCUGCAUCUCACCUUCAAAAUUUCUAUUCACAGUUUACUCCCAUUAAAUAUCAGUGUAAGGUACCUAAUUGCAAUAAAGAAUUCAGGAGUGAGCAAAAAUUUAAGAAGCAUCAAAAUACUCAUUGUGAGGAUGGGUCCAUAAGAGCGCCGCGGCAAGUAACCGUGGAAUGUCCCGUAAAGCGGAUAGAGGCUGAUGGUACAGAACAGUCGUGCGGCAAAAUAUUUCUUGUCAGAGAUCAGUUGAUCAAACAUUUGAAUGAAGAUCAUACUUUGGAUGAUGCAGUAUACAGGUGCGAGGAGUGCGGGCGGCGUUUCUUCUGGUCGUCGGGGCUGCGUGCCCACGUGCGCGCGCACUGCCGCCAGGCGGCGACGGCGGGGGCGGGGCCGGCGGGGCGGGGGGCGGGGCGCGCGCGGGCGCCGCUGGUGUGCGCGUGGGCCGGCUGCGGCCGCGUGUUCCGCCAGCCCUGCCGCCUGCGCGAGCACGCGCGCGCGCACACCGGCGACCGGCCCUAUCCCUGCGACUACCCUAACUGCGGCUGGUCGUUCCGGUCGGCCAGCAAGCUGAUGCGUCACGCGCGGAGACACACGGGCGAGCGCAAGCACGCGUGCACGGCGUGCGACCAGGCCUUCCUGCGCCGCGAGCACCUGCGCGACCACGUGGCGCGCUACCACGCGCUGCGCCGCGCGCACCCCUGCCACCACCCCGGUUGUGAACAAACCUUCAACAACAUGAGCACGCUGUAUCUGCAUAUGAAGAAAGUGCACAAGAAUAAAGACAGCCCGUCAGCGACGACCACCAGCGAAACCGAAUCAUUCUUCACGCUCGAGAAGACUGAUGAUAAUAUGUUUUUGGUGAACGUAUCGCCCGAGUGUGGUUUGUCGGACGACGUUUCGGCGGAGGGUGGCUUGGUUUUGGCGGAGACGGGAGCGGAGGAGUUAGCGGAGGUGGGAGCGGAGACGGAAGCGGAGACGGAGGCGGAGGGCGAGUGGCACUCGGCGCGCACGCACUGCACCUGGCCGCUUGAGGGCCGCGCGGGGCACUGCGACAUCAAUGACGAUGAUAAUCUGCUCAAAGAUGAUUCACAUGUCGAGCAGCUGGAAGGUUCGGAGAGCAACACUUACACUGUGCGGAGCGAUCUGUUUCUCCAUGGAAACGUUAUGAUAAAUGACGAUAGCCAGCACAUGGGCGCGUGCGGGGGCGCGGGCGCGGAGGGCGCGGGCGCGGGCGCGGGCUCGCCGCUGGGCGCCGGCCUGGGCCUGCUCGACGCGCACCCCACCAUCGAUCUCAUGCAGGAAGAGUUGAUGUACGCUGACACAGCGGCAGACGAGUCCUCUUUCCGAAUAUUCCUGCUCAGCGGGGAAGAACUGACUUAAUGUUAACUCCAGCCACAGGCGGCUCUAGACGAAUUAUGCAGCUUGUUGUCGCGACCUCUGCUAUGUACGAGCUUCGACCUAUGCUCGUCACGCCCUUUUUGUGGUGAGUCAUAGUAAAUAGAUCGUGAUUUGUUUCGAUUCAGAGGACCUUUUUUAGCUCUCCCGUUCAACGAAUACGAUUCAGUGCAAUAUAGCAGAGGUCAGUGCUCUUUAUAACGGGAUCACUACUAUUUUUAAUAUUUUGUAUUCGUCUGCUGCUAAUAUUCUGAUUGUAUCUAAUUCAAUUCAAGUGAUGAAAUUUAGUCUAAAAAUGAAAAAUUAUACCUAGUUAAUGUAGGUUUAUAAAUUUACUGUCGUGAAUACUUAUGAAGAUGUGUAGUUUUGUUAUAGUAAUGAUAGUAGAGGAAAUCUACUUUGUAAAAUUAUAAAUUUGUAUUAGGUAUUUUACUAUUAAAAGGCCGGGUUGAAAUGUGUACAUUCUAAGGGAUUCGAUGAAAUAUUUAGUGUUAAAUGAUCUGCGAAGCGGAUUCAAAUUAUAUCACAAAUAAUUAGGCUUGAUACAAGGGAAUGCAAACGACGACAAAGUCAGGACAAGGCUCGUCACUCGCACUCUAUCUUGGCGAGUAGCGUGAGCAGGCUAGGCAUAGCAAUUAAUUAGUGUAAGCAACUUUAUACUGUAAGUUAACGACUCUGACACGUAUUUAACUCACUAAUAAUAAUCGUUAGUAUGAGUUGUUAAAAUAAUGUAUACCUAGCGCAUGAAAUAACUUACGUAUGAAGGUAUAGAAACAAUUUAAUGUUUCAUUUAUUACAUAAAAAAGGAACAACACUAUAUUACAUAGUAGAUUUUCAUAAAAGUGGCCCAGUUUAUAGCGCAGUGUUUGGUAGUAACUUUAAAACUUAAAUUGGGCGUUAUUAAUUUUAAAUAUUGCUUGAUAUUUAUUUGUUGUUAUACUAAAAAGUACCUUAUGUAUGCCUUAUUUUACAGUUAAACUAUACUUAACAAUUUAUACUUAUGUAUACAUAUUUAUUUAAAGUUAGGAAUAAAUACGAUAAGGUGUAUAAUGAAUUUCUGUAUAAUAUUAAUAAUCUUUUAAUGCAAGGAAUCUAUUACUAUUUAAUUACGAUCUAUGGCUAUUUAAAUAAUAAACCGGGUUUAAAAGUUAACUUUAACAAUAGUACAAAGUUUAAUCGUAUGUGGCUAUUGCGUUUUCUUAAUGAAACCCAGAAAAAUGUUUGUAGUGCAAUAUUCGACUUUACAAUUUUCUAUGUAAUAAUUAGAAAACUGUGAGUGCCUGUUAGGUAAAAAAAUCGAUACCUGAGAGACUAGUUGACCUUCCCUCUUCCAUCGGGUAAAUUCAAUUAGGUAAGAAUAUUUGCCAAUUAUUUCCUAAAUUCGAUAUUUACUGUAGUGAAAACGAAUAAUUUAGAAAUACUGAGCAUUUACUUAAUUGUGAAUUGUAAUAAGUGUAUUGUUAGUUCAACGAUUAGGGCCGAUCCUCUGGAUGUGGACGGCGCCUUUCAGCUCAAAGGAGACGUCCCAAGUAAUAAUGCUAAGGUGUACCUUCUUUGAUAGGAACGUAGAAACGCAUGUUGUGUUUUCACUGUAUCCUAGUAAUGUGAUUCUAAUGGCCUAAAAGUCGGAUUUUUACUUCGAGAUCAUAAAUCUAAACAAUGAACCGUCGUUUUCAAACACUUCCUUCAUUUAUUUUCGUUGAAUUUAUUAAAUGUAUACCGAAUGUUGACUUGAAUUUGGUACCUACCUACUAAAAUAUUUAAGAAACCUUUGCAUAUUUAUAAUCUCAAUUUUAUAAAAAUCUGACUAUAAAUAAGCUUAGAUGUGAUGUGUAAAUGAAAGCAUAGCCUAAAAAGGCUCGUUAAUGUAGACAUACGCUAGGUUAUGCUCACGCGGAACUGAAAGCUAGGCGUGAGACUGGUUUCGGCGUACAUGCUUCGUUUUGGCGUUAUAAUGUAUAUUGAAAAGUUGCGUGAAAUGCAGGAAUAGUACUCAACAGCGCAUCAGACUGCAUUUAUUAGAAAAUAGUACAUAUUACUACGACAAAAGAUGCCAAAUGCUUAGCUUGAUGUGCUGUAGUCUGUACUUGCCAUGCUUUGCUCCGUGUGUGCACGAACAUGCAUUUAGGAUGGUGUCAAUUUUCGAAGUUGAAUAUUUGAAGUGUUACCAUUUGUUUCAUCGAACAUGAUGUGGUCGGACAAA